This 253-nucleotide ribosomal RNA is filed under the name uncultured prokaryote. Its description in RNAcentral is "partial 16S ribosomal RNA". It matches the Rfam family "Bacterial small subunit ribosomal RNA", at positions 524 to 777 of the family's 1533-position model. The record is from RNAcentral.
UACGUAGGGGCAAGCGUUGUCCGGAAUUAUUGGGCGUAAAGCGCGCGCAGGCGGUCUCUUAAGUCUGAUGUGAAAUCUCGCAGCUUAACUGUGAGCGGUCAUUGGAAACUGAGGGACUUGAGGACAGGUGAGGAGAGUGGAAUUCCACGUGUAGCGGUGAAAUGCGUAGAGAUGUGGAGGAACACCAGUGGCGAAGGCGACUCUCUAGUCUGUAUCUGACGCUGAGGUGCAAAAGCGUGGGUAGCAAACAGGA